UGGACCUGAUUAGUUUCACCUGUGUGCUGUGUUCACACCUGUUCUCACCUGUUGCUCGUUACCCAGUGAGUGUUCAGUCUCUCUGGUGUUUUGUUAGAUUUUCUUCGAUGGACUUUGUGAAACACGUCUGAAUGAGUCUGCAGCUCCGAGAGCUCCCAGUUACAAGUGAAGAAUCAUGCAGAAGAGGGGCGAGACAGCUGUUGUAGCAGAGCGACUAAUGAGAUACCUGAGGCUGACCAGAGCCCGGUUUGAUGACCAGGGUUUCAGUGAUGGACACCAACCACCUGCAGUCUGUUUCAUCCGUAGAACUCCUGUCUAUCCGUCUCCGCCUCUGGAAACACUAGCAAACUCUGGAAACAGAAGUUAGCAGUUAACAACUUCCAGCUAGGACCUUCAAAUUCACGGCUCCAGACAUGUCUGCAAAAUAAACCCCAUCAUUUCUUGGUUCAGUAAUCCUCCAGAGGAGCGCCCGUUCAUCUGUUUGUGUUGAGUCUCAGCUUCACUGUUAACAGUAAAUCACACAGAGGUUCACUCUGGCUUCCUUCUGCAGUAUCUACUUACUUACUAUUUGCAUAUCUUGAAUUUGCUGGAAUAACGUCAUACUUUAUCAAAAUGCAAGUUUCAUCAGAUCCAGUGAGUCAGGAAAUCAAA
Notolabrus celidotus (New Zealand spotty) is the source of this 651-nucleotide long non-coding RNA. RefSeq lists it as uncharacterized. The transcript is spliced from 4 exons. The record is from RefSeq and is a predicted model, not a curated record. NCBI's taxonomy places the organism in Eukaryota, Metazoa, Chordata, Actinopteri, Labriformes, Labridae.